UUUGGUGUGGCCAACACUACAAACGCUCCUGUGCUCGACAGUGAUGGCAACGAGCUCCGCACUGGCACCCCAUACUUCGUUGUGUCGUCGAUAUGGGGUGCUGGUGGUGGGGGGCUUGACCCAGGCAGGCCUAGAGGAAAGCCAUGCCCGGAAGUCGUUGCUCAAAGAGGAUCUGGUGACAAUGGUAUUCCGGUGAUAUUUUCUAAUUCGGACUCCAAAGAUGGCGUUGUUCGCCUAUCCUCUGACAUAAACAUAGCGUUCGUUCCCCUCAGACCCAAAUUUUGCGAAACAACAACGGUGUGGAAGGUCGCUGAUUACGACCACUCAGCCGGAAAAUGGUGGGUGAUAACCGAUGGGGUUAAAGGGAACCCAGGUGCCAACACUUUGACCAGUUGGUUUAGAAUAGAGAAGACGACUACUGAUUUUGAUUACACAUUUAAGUACUGCCCCGCAGUAUGUGGAACAUGCCCAGCCUUAUGCAACAAAAUUGUGAGAGACUUUGAUGGAGAAAUGGUACGUUUGGCUCUCACCACUGGCCAUGGAUGGCCAUUUAUCUUUAAGAAAGUUGGAAAAUCAGCCAUGGAGAUUGAACAAGUUGUUCAUAAUUAGAUUGAAAGCAAUCAUUAUGCAUGAACUAGUAGUUACUACAUAAUAUUAGCUUCAAGUAAAUAAUGCUGAGGGAACUUAUUGUUAAGAUUGCCUUGUUUGAAGCGGCAGCAUGUAUAUAUAUAUGCUUGCUUACAAGGUUUGUCUCUCAGAGUCCUCCUCUUUGUACUCUUUUCAGCUUAAUGAAUAAACUGUUUACUUAUUUACUUCUUUUGUUGCCAUUGAUUCUAGUAGCAUUCGACUCAUUAACUUGGAUACAUUACCUUGUAAUUAACCAAAAAGUUAUGUGUAUAUGUAUAAAGAGUGUGUGAGAGAAAAAAUAGAAUACCAAGUACCAAGUGAAAAAUGUUAAUACUAGGAUUAUUCAAAGCGAUUUCAAUGAACAGAAAUGGAAUAGUCGUCGGGUGGUUAGGGCAUUUUAUCUUUAGAGAUAAAGAAGGUUGGUUCAUGUUCGGAGUUUGUGGCUACUCAUUUAAUAAUAUCGUUUUUAAAGUUUAAACUUGUAUCACAUUUUAAACACGUAAUGUAUCUUACCAUUACAUCCAACAAUAUUAACCAUUUACUCUAUUGUAUUGUAUUCUAUUCUAUUAUUAAUUAAUGAUUAUGAUAUGUAUUAAGUUUAAGAUGAAUUUUCUCAGUAAUGUAUAUCAAUGAAAUCAAAUAUUUGUAUUUAAAGUUUUAACUCCACAUUAACUUUUUCUUUAUUUUGUCCGUUUGCUGGCGAUGAUUAGGAGAUUAAUGGUUGGUAUUUGUGGUUAGUAGCUUAUAACUCGAGGGUUGAUAGUGGCCCGACUCCACUUAAAUAAAAAAUUUUACAUUUAAAUUUCUUUAUAAUUUAUAAAAUUUUAAAUUAAUAAUAAAAAAAUUAUAUUUUAACUCUCUAAAAUUAAUAAAAAUGAUAAAAAUGUAGAAGUAAAUUUAUACAAUUAAUGAUAAUAAUGAUAAGAAGUUGUUUCCUAUCACAUGGAAAUUUAUGGCAUCUUCCAUUUGGUUUUAUAUUUGUCCAUUUGCUUGGUUAAGAGUUGAAAGACAAACUAUAAUUAAAUAUACAAAACCAAACGAAUUUCAAGGGUUUUCUCUUCAAUUAUUGUCGAAUUUAGCUAAUUAUUAGUAAUAUUUAUUAUUUAAUUAUAAAAAUUAUAAAAUAGUGACUUAAUUAUAAAUAUAUAUAUAUAUAUAAAAUAGCCAUCUAAUUAUUUAAUUUUUUCUUUUUUAUCAUCACCGGAAUAAUGGUGGUAAUUUUUAUAAUUGACAUAAUAGUAACUUUAACCAUUAAUAAUUAUACAUUAUGUCAAUUUAGUCUUGAUUCUAAAAAAUUUAACCUUUGACAUUUACACAUAUAUAAUUUGAUAUUUUUAUAAUUUUAUUUUUUACUAAAAAUAAAUCAUGAAAAUAAUAAAAUAUGCAUAAAAAUAAAAAUACAGCUACCGACUAUAUCUCUUAUUGUAGAUUUAUAACAAUUAUCUUUUCAUAAAGAUAUUUUAUUAUAAAAUAUAUAAUAAGCACUUCCCUGUAACAAAUAAAAUUGUAGUAAACAAAUGAAAUUAUUAUAAAGAAGAAUUUUCUAUUUUCAUAAUAAUAAUAAUAAUAAAAGAAAAGAAAAAAGUGGUUCUAUUAAUUCACCUCACAUUUGAAAUAUGUUAUAUGUAAUAAUAUUAAUGUCUUUAUCAAUUUUGGUGGUUCAUCCUUUCCCAUCUCUAUAAAUUUGCAUGCAGAACUAAAGCAACACAUAUCAACACAAUCUGUAUAACCAUGAAAACCACAACAGCUUCGGUGUUUCUUCUUUUCAUCAUCUUCUCAAUCACACCAUUGUCCUUUUCGUUUGGUGUGGCCAACACUACAAACGCUCCUGUGCUCGACAGUGAUGGCAACGAGCUCCGCACAGGCACCCCAUACUUCGUUGUGUCGUCGAUAUGGGGUGCUGGUGGUGGGGGGCUUGCCCUAGGCAUGCCUAGAGGAAAGCCAUGCCCGGAAGUCGUUGCUCAAAGAGGAUCCGGUGACGAUGGUAUUCCGGUGAUAUUUUCUAAUUCGGACUCCAACGAUGGCGUUGUUCGCCUAUCCUCUGACAUAAACAUAGAGUUCAUUCCCCUCAGACCCAGAUUUUGCCAAACAACAACGGUGUGGAAGGUCGAUGAUUACGACCACUCAGCCGGAAAAUGGUGGGUGAUAACCGAUGGGGUUAAAGGGAACCCAGGUGCCAACACUUUGACCAGUUGGUUUAGAAUAGAGAAGGCGGGUGAUCUUGAUUACACAUUUAAGUACUGCCCCGCUGUACGUGGAACAUGCCCAGCCUUAUGCAACAAAAUUACGAGAGACUCAGAUGGAGAAAUGAUACGUUUGGCUCUCUCCGCUGGCCAUGGAUGGCCAUUUUUCUUUAAGAAACUUCAAACAUCAGCCAUGGAGAUUGAACAAGUUGUUCAUAAUUAGAUUGAAAGCAAUCAUUAUGCAUGAACUAGUAGUUACUAUACAAUAUUAGCUUCAAGUAAAUAAUGCUGAGAGAACUGAUUGUUAAGAUUGCCUUGUUUGAAGCAGCAGCAUGUAUAUAUAUAUAUAUGCUUGCUUACAAGGUUUGUCUCUCAGAGUCCUUCUCUUUGUACUCUUUUCAGCUUAAUAUAUAAACUGUCUACUUAUUUACUUCUUUUAUUGCCAUUGAUUCUAGUAGUAUUAGACUCAUUAACUUGGAUACAUUGUCUUGUAAGAGAUAGCUUAUCUCUUAACAACUGUUUGGGUCAACAAAAUUAAUGUAUAUAUGAAAACGAAUAUUGAAUUUGGAUGUCCAAUCAAUUUUUUUUAAUUAAUUAAUUAAAAAGAAUUGUUUUAAUUCAAAAAAUCUAAAAGAAUUUGAUAAAAAAUGUGGAAGGGCACACUUGUAUGAUGAAUAGUAAUGAUAAUAAUCGUUUUCCUAGCACAAGUAUGGGAUUCGUCCAUUUGGUUUUAUAUUUAUCCACUUGCCUGAGUGUUUAAGAGUUAAAAGGACAAAACUAUUAAGUAGAAAACACCAAACGAAUAUGAAGGCUUUUGUCUUCUUCAAUUAGUAUGACCUAUAUUUCUUAUUAAACUUCGUAUUUUACAUUCAAUAUCAUCAUCACAAUCAUUUUAAUUUAUUUUCAUGAAUAAACUUUUAUGUCCCAUUUUAAUUGAAUCAUUAAAAAUUAUUAAUUGAAUUUUUUUUAAGUCAAGUGAUACUAAUUUGAUUUUUUUAAAAAAGUUGUUUGAAUUAAUUUGAUUUUCGUGUCAUAAUUGACAUAAAUGGCCAUUGUGAAUGGCAACAUCAAUAGUUAUUGAGUACAGCGGCUAAAAUUUUCAGUUAAAAAAAAAGAAUGAAAGGAAAACAAAAAGAAAAACGUGGAAAGAAAGAAAGAAAGAAUAAUAAUAAUAAUAAAUAAAUAAAAUAGAAUUGUGGGGGCGAUGCUUUUGAACAAAUCUUGAUUUAAACUAUAUAAAGAAAAUAUGUGUUAUAUAUAUAAUUAAUUAUGUACUUAUACUUAAUAUAUUAUAUAUCUAAUGUCAUAUUUUCAUAUUCUCAGAAAGUGGUGACAUACAAAUACUUGAUUCGAUUUAUUUCUUUAGCUCCCCGUGAAUUGUAUGUUUGUAACAUUAGGGACAGAAUUUCUUCAAUUAUCCAAUUGACUGGACGUAUUGUGUCGAUUUUUUUUUAGUAAUAUACCUAGAAAUACCCGUUGAUUCUUUAUAAACGCUGUUUCGAACACAACUGGUACACUCUAAAAUAAUUUACUUGAACAUCAUUACUCUUAGCCAUGAACCUCCUUUGAGUUUUUAAUUCACCCAACUUUUCUAUUUUCCGAUCAAAAGCAAAGAAGAAAGGAAUGAAAAAAAAAGAAAGAAAUCAAAGUUGCUAACUCAAAACCAAAUCCUGAAAAUUUUCAUUUCAAUGAAUAUAGUAAGUAAAUAUAGAUUUAUAGUAAUAGCAAAUAAUAAGAAUUAAGUAAUAUAACGAUUUUUAAUUCUAUUUAGAAUCAAUUAAAAUAUUCAAUUAAAUAUUCAAUUAAAAUAAAUUAAACUGUAUAAAUUUUAUAAUUUUAAAUUAUUAUUUUUGUAUUAAUUUAAAAACAAAAUAAAUAUUAUAUACAAUGAUUUAGUUACAGCGUGUCAGCUUGAAGUCUAAGACUUUAUAACAUAUAAAUUUAAUAGAUAAUUAAUAACUAAAAAAUUAAAUAGCAAAAGCAUAACUGCGCCACUUCUCACCAUUUUAAUGUAUGCAACUUAUUAUAUAUUUAUAUAUAUUAUCAUUUUAUUUUAAAUAAUUUAAUUUUUAUAAAUUUAGGGAUAAAUCUCAAAAUUAUACAUGAACUUUAAUUUAAUAUGCAAUUGUAUAAAUAAACUUUAAUUUGGUACAAUUAUACACGUGAUACUUUAAUUGUGGUUUAAAUACUCACUUGAAACUUUAGUUUUGAUUUAAUAAUGCAUAUUUAAAUAAAUAAAUACAUCAAUUUUUUUAUAUUGGGUAAAUAUAAUUAUUUAUGUAUGCAAUAUAUAACAUAAAAUGAUGUUAUAUCAAUAAUUGUGUUAAUAAUUUUCAAGAAUUGGAUCAAAUCAAAAUUUUAUGUAUAAAAUUGAACAAAAUCAAAGUUAAUGUAUACAAUUGCACAUUAAACCAUAAUUCAUGUAUAUUUUUUUUGUAUAUAUCCCAUAAAUUUAUUUCAUUAACUUUUUACCUAUAUCAUAUAUAGAGUUGUUCGUGAACCGAGCCAAGGAAUGCCCACUCGAAAAAAUGAGAGGGUUUUGGAAAAAAAUAUAUGCCUAAAAAAUGGGCUUGGAUAAAAAGACAAGGCCCGUUUAGAAAAUGAACCGGCAUUGAGUAGGGUUUUUUUGUCCGGGCUCAGCCUAACCCGAAUUUUCAAUUAAAAAAAACCCUGUUGUUUUUGCUGCUAUUUUUCCAUAUCUUGGUGUUGUUUUCUCACUUUUUGCCGCUAUUUUAUUACCAUUUCACUAUUAUGUUACUACUAUUUUUUUUAAUGUUUGGAUAUAGUAUAAUAAUUGUUUUAUUGUUAAUUUUAUCACUAUUUUAGAGACAUUUGUUUGUUAUGUUGUACUUAUUUUAGUUUUUAUUUAAGUAUAAAAAAAUUUAAAAUUUAUUUUCAAUUUAUUGAUAAACAUGUAAUUUAAUAUUUUCAGUGUAUUUAUUGUAUUAUAUUUGUUAAAUUUAUAUAAAAUUAAAAUUAAAAAAAUAUGGACCGAGAUGGGAGUUUAACAAAAAUUUAGGCCCAUUUUUCAAGUCGGGCCGAUCUCNNNNNNNNNNNNNNNNNNNNNNNNNNNNNNNNNNNNNNNNNNNNNNNNNNNNNNNNNNNNNNNNNNNNNNNNNNNNNNNNNNNNNNNNNNNNNNNNNNNNNNNNNNNNNNNNNNNNNNNNNNNNNNNNNNNNNNNNNNNNNNNNNNNNNNNNNNNNNNNNNNNNNNNNNNNNNNNNNNNNNNNNNNNNNNNNNNNNNNNNNNNNNNNNNNNNNNNNNNNNNNNNNNNNNNNNNNNNNNNNNNNNNNNNNNNNNNNNNNNNNNNNNNNNNNNNNNNNNNNNNNNNNNNNNNNNNNNNNNNNNNNNNNNNNNNNNNNNNNNNNNNNNNNNNNNNNNNNNNNNNNNNNNNNNNNNNNNNNNNNNNNNNNNNNNNNNNNNNNNNNNNNNNNNNNNNNNNNNNNNNNNNNNNNNNNNNNNNNNNNNNNNNNNNNNNNNNNNNNNNNNNNNNNNNNNNNNNNNNNNNNNNNNNNNNNNNNNNNNNNNNNNNNNNNNNNNNNNNNNNNNNNNNNNNNNNNNNNNNNNNNNNNNNNNNNNNNNNNNNNNNNNNNNNNNNNNNNNNNNNNNNNNNNNNNNNNNNNNNNNNNNNNNNNNNNNNNNNNNNNNNNNNNNNNNNNNNNNNNNNNNNNNNNNNNNNNNNNNNNNNNNNNNNNNNNNNNNNNNNNNNNNNNNNNNNNNNNNNNNNNNNNNNNNNNNNNNNNNNNNNNNNNNNNNNNNNNNNNNNNNNNNNNNNNNNNNNNNNNNNNNNNNNNNNNNNNNNNNNNNNNNNNNNNNNNNNNNNNNNNNNNNNNNNNNNNNNNNNNNNNNNNNNNNNNNNNNNNNNNNNNNNNNNNNNNNNNNNNNNNNNNNNNNNNNNNNNNNNNNNNNNNNNNNNNNNNNNNNNNNNNNNNNNNNNNNNNNNNNNNNNNNNNNNNNNNNNNNNNNNNNNNNNNNNNNNNNNNNNNNNNNNNNNNNNNNNNNNNNNNNNNNNNNNNNNNNNNNNNNNNNNNNNNNNNNNNNNNNNNNNNNNNNNNNNNNNNNNNNNNNNNNNNNNNNNNNNNNNNNNNNNNNNNNNNNNNNNNNNNNNNNNNNNNNNNNNNNNNNNNNNNNNNNNNNNNNNNNNNNNNNNNNNNNNNNNNNNNNNNNNNNNNNNNNNNNNNNNNNNNNNNNNNNNNNNNNNNNNNNNNNNNNNNNNNNNNNNNNNNNNNNNNNNNNNNNNNNNNNNNNNNNNNNNNNNNNNNNNNNNNNNNNNNNNNNNNNNNNNNNNNNNNNNNNNNNNNNNNNNNNNNNNNNNNNNNNNNNNNNNNNNNNNNNNNNNNNNNNNNNNNNNNNNNNNNNNNNNNNNNNNNNNNNNNNNNNNNNNNNNNNNNNNNNNNNNNNNNNNNNNNNNNNNNNNNNNNNNNNNNNNNNNNNNNNNNNNNNNNNNNNNNNNNNNNNNNNNNNNNNNNNNNCCCAUCCCAUGAACAACUCUAAUUAUAUAUAUAUGUCAUUCUCUAAUAAUAAUAAUAAUAAUAAUAAUAAUAAUAAUAAGUGGAUAACAUAAAACUAGUAGUAAAGAGUAAGAAGACAAAGAAGAAUUAAGUGGAUAACAUAAAACGUGCGAAAACAUUUAUCUUCAAUUCUGACACAUAAAGCUAGUAUUUUUGGGUAAAGUAUAGAAAUGGUGAUUAAAUUAUUGUUGAUGUUCUAUUUUAAUUUUUAAUUUUUCUAUUUUAGUUAUUAAAUUAUUUGAAAUUAAAAUUUUUGGUUAUCAAAUGUUAACAGUAGUUUGAAAUUUAACAGAAAUAUUGAUGUGAACUUUUCUUAUUGAUUUAAUAAUAAAUUUAGCCUUCUAAUAUUUAUAUAUUCUAUUAAUUUGAUACUAAAUAUAAAAAUUUAACAAAUUUAACCUUCAAUAUUUACAAAUUUUGUUAUUUUAAUUCAAAUUCUAAAAAAAAAUUCAAUAAAUUUAACCCUCAACAUUUAAAAAAUUGAUAAAUUUCAAUUUUUAAAAUUUUGUAAAUUCCUAAAAUAUAAAGCAUCAUUCUCCACCUCAUAGGAUUCCAUGUAAAUGGAUUUUCUUGAAUUCUUUACCAAGUUGUCUUGAGUUUAAUUUCUUCUUAUUUAGUUUGUGGAAUAAAUGGCAUAUAGUUAGAUGUCACUGCAGCUGACAAUGAAAGGUUUGACAAAGUUGAUAAAUUCAGAGCUUUUGAUGCUGAGCUUCAAAUCAGUCUUGCCUCCACUCACCCAAGAAAUCAACUUUACAAUUUUUAUUGAGUCUUAACUCGAUUAAUAUGAGUAUUGUUAUCAAUAUAGGAGGAAGUGAAUUUUAGUGCGUUGAAACACAUUAUCUUCUUAUUGAUGAAUUGAGGAGGGGCUAUGAAUAGUUUUAAAUAUUAUAUUAAAAAAGCAGAGAUAAUUGAAACCUACAAUAAUAUUGUUCAAAAAAAUUACCUAAAAACACGAAAUCUUACUCCCUGAAUUUUCUAGAAACACAAAUAUUUCUCCCUGCCUUUGAUGGUGUAUACAUGCAUGGCCAUGUGUGAGCUCCUGCAUUUUAACUAAUCAACACAGAUAAUACCCUCAAUGAGACAUUAAAAUUAACUCUUUUUUUUUGUUUUUUCAUAAAAUUUAUAAUUUUGUAUUUCAAUGAAAAAAUCUAAAUCUAAGUUGAUCCGAGUCCAAAAAAAUCUGAAGCUGUAAAAAGUUUGAUCUGAGGCUGCUCAUUUGCCACCUCUAAUAACCAUUUGAUAGAGGUUUAAUAUAAAGGAAUUUAGAUUUUAGGAAUUUACAAAAUUUUUAAAAUUAAUUUUUUAUUUGUAAAUGCUAAGGGAUAAAUCUAUUGAAGUUUUUAAAAUUUGAACUGAAAUGUCAAAAUUUGUAAACAUUGAAGGCUAAAUUUGUUUAUUUUUUCUAUUUAAGACCAAUCUGAUAGAAUGUGUACACAUUAGAAGACUAAAUUUAUUAUUAGACCAAUAAAAAAAUGCCCAACUUAACGCUUUCUCAAAUUUCAAACCGAUGUUAAUAUUCAAUGACCAAAAUUUUUUAUUUCAAAUAGUUUAGUGACCAGAAUAGAAAAAAAAAUUAAAAGUUUGAUGACCAAAAUAGAACGCGGAUAAUAAUUUAAUGAUAUUUUUAUACUUUAUCUGUUUUUUUAUGAUUAUUUAUACAUAUCAAGUGUAGCUAAUUUAGGGAAAAGAAUCAAUGGUUAAGGUUGUUGUUGAUACUUAAUUAUCAGCGUCCAAAUUUUGCUAAUGUAAUUUUCCUUAUCAUAGUUUGUAUCUUAAUUUUGUUACCAAAAAAAUAUUAGUAAUAAAUAAUAUAUGCUCGAGAAAUGUACGUAUGAUUGAUUUAAACAAUACAUGUUGGAGUAAUUUACUGAUGGAUUUAAAAUAAAAUUUAAAAAUAAAAUAAAAUUUUAAAAAUCCAAAAGUAUUUUUUCUUUUAAAAAAAUUUAAAAAUGAUUUUUAAAUUAUUUACAUGAUUGAUUUAAAGGAUUUUUUUUCUAUUAAUUAUUUUUAUAUUAAAUUUAUUUUACUUUAUGUAUAACAUUUAAAGGGUUUGUAUAUAUGCUAACUCGCGAGUCAAUUAAAAUUUGUAUUAUAUUCAUUGAAUUUUUUAAAAAUAUAUUAUUUAUUUAUUUAUUUAUUUAUUUAUUUAUUUGAGACCCAUGAUAAACUUGUAUUUAAAGUUAUUGGUGCACACUAUAAAUUCAUAUAUUGAAAAUGAUAGGUGCUAAAAGUAACAUGUUUUAGUCUCAUUCUUAAUGUGUUUUUGGAUGAUUAUUCGAUAUAAAAAAGUUAAUUUUAUGCUCCUAAACUUUUCAAUUUACAUUCUACACUUAAUAGAGCAUUUAGGAGCAAAAGAAGCGAAAAACGAGCGAAAAUAAAAAAAAAAUAGGAGCAAGUCUCAAGAGCCACACAGGCUGAGCCAUUCCACACGGGUUGGACACAUAACCGAGUGAGCCACACGACCAUGUGCUAGACUGUGUGGAAAUCGCAAACUACACUCCAAACGGCAUGAAAACACAUUAAUUUUAAGGUUUUUUAAGCAUUUUAAUACCUAUACAUGACAAAGAUAAGAAGAGGGGAGAGAGCCGUCAGAAAAUAUUAAAGAAAACAACUUGAAAAACACCAUUGAAACCAACUUUGAAGCAAAUUUUCAUCAAGAUUGAAGAUCACAUUUUGAUUUCUUUGAAGUUUAUUAUGAGUUUCUUUAUUUAUUGUGGUUAUACUGACUUUAGGAUGUUUUUAUUUGCUAUCAUGAACGAAUUUUCUAAAUACCUAAGGAGAUGAAUCCUAUCAUGAAUUAUGUUAUUUGAUUUCUAUUUUUACGUAAUAAAGACUUAGAUCUUAUUCUCAAUUAUGUGUGCUUAAUUUUUGGUUUAAUAUUUCUAGACUAUUAAUCCAUGUUUGAUGUGCUUAAAUCAGAGGAGGAAUAAACCCUAUUUAAGAGUAGAUCUAGCGUAAAUGAGUGGAGUUGCAUGCAAUUCUAGAAAUAGGACAACAUAAAUCUACCGUAUUAGAUCCAAAUCUAAUAGGGGAAUCUAUAGAUCGAGUUAAUACGAUGAUAGAGGUUUUAAUUAGAAAUAAAUUUCAAUUAAUUAACCUAGUCUUGAAGAGAUAUAUUAGCAUAAUUUAGAGAUUUUUACAGAUCAAUAUACUAAGUGACGACGUUGCGUAAUAUAGAUUGAUAAUGACAGAUGAAGUCUAGGUAGAUUCUUUCCUAGGUAUUGUCUCGCUUCUUGGUUAUUAUUUGAUUAUUUUCUUGAUUUGUGCUUUGUUGUGUUAUUUAGUUAACUAAUUUAGUUAAUUUUAGUUUCAACCAAUCACUCCAAUUUAUCAGUUAAAUAAUAGAAAAUACGGUAAUUACUGGUACUUUUAGUCUUCGUAAAAACGAUAUCUUUGCUCACCAUAACUAUACCAUUAAUUGAUGUGCACUUGUCUGAGUUAGAUUUUUAGUUGGUUUACGACUGCAAUCAAAAAACUCAUUAAGUUAGCACAAACUAAGUUAAUUAUUCGUUGGUUGCUUUAUUUUUUUCCUGAAUUUUCGAUUUCAUCUUUCAUUUUGUACAAUAAUUUUGAUAUAAAAAUAUCAAAUUCUCGACCCUUAAUAUAUACCUUUGAAAUAUAAACAUAUGCAUCAAUUCUUUUAGGUUCCUCACAACUUACUUAUCCAAAAUUCUUGUAUCUUUCAGUUCUCCUGAUUGAAUCAAAAUUUGACUUCGUAAUUAUUUUUUAAGGACCUCAAACUAUCAAUUUAUAGCAUAAAUUUUCAAUAGCUUUCAUUCUUUACAAAUUGGUCCCUAAUUAAUCAACAAUGGUAUUAAACCUUAAGCUUAGGGUCCCGUUGUUUCACUGAAAAUGGCUUUCGAAAAAUAAUUUCUAGAAAAUGACUUACUUUCCUAGAAAAGUUAAUAUUUUCUGAUGUUUGGAUGAAUCAGUGUAAAAUAUUUUAUAUUGUUUGACAAAUUUCUUAAAAAUAUUCAUAAAAGCUGUUUUCAAUGAAACAAACAUGCAUUUGAGAUUUUCUUAUCUUUUCAUUGUUUAAUUAAGUUUAUCUUAUAUCUAUAAAUUUAUAUUUUACAUUUUUUUGCAUAUAAUAAAAAUAUAUAUUUUUUAAUUCAGGUUCACUACAAUGUCACUUUUUAGUUACAUGACUACCAAGUGAGUAUUUUUUUUAUUUAAAAAUGUGACAUCAACAAAAUUGACAAAAAAAAUUUUAGCAAUGUCAACAAUUGGACUUGAUUUUCAAAUCUGAAAAGUAGAGGGACUAAAUUCUUGAAAAUAAAAGUAUAGAGACUAAAUUGAAAAUUUGUGAAGAAUACAUAGACUUAUCACAUUUUUUAACUUUUAUACUACAAAAUAUUUAUCAUUAAUAUAUUUAUAAUUAUAAUAAAUAUUUAUUAUUAAAAUAUUAAUAUUAAAUAUUUCCAAUAAGAAGAAUAUUAUUUAAAAUUAUUAUUUUUAAAAAAUUUUAUUAAAAUAAAAUUGAAAUAUUAAAUAAUUUAUUAAAAUAAUUAAUUUUAUGACUAAAUAUAAAUAAUUAAAUAUGUAUGUUUAAUAAUAUUGGAAUAUAUAAUAUUUUAUAUUAAUAUUUUAAUUAUUUUUAAAAAUAAAAAUAAAAAUUAUUUUCAAUAUAAUAAUAUUAAUAUUGAUUUAAAUGAAUUUUUAUAUAAAAAUAAAAUUACCUAUAGAUGAGCUCUUUUUCCAGAAAAUGACUUACACUUUUCAAAAGGAUAAGUCAUUUUAUAGGAAAAAGAGUUCAAUUUUACAUUGACCUGUAAGUCAUUUUCCGAUGACCAAACUGUUUACUGUAAAACAAACAUAAGAAAAUACAGAAAAUAUUUUCUGUAAAACCUUUUACAUGUAAACAAACGGACCCUUAAUUCAAGCUUGUUCUAACAUAACCCACUUCACUAUUAGCAUGACUCUUCCUUAUACUAUGUUUAACCAUUAACCCUUCUCAUGAUUUCUAACAAAAAUUCUCUAAGUUCUCUUUAAUGGAAACUUCUAUUAGCUUCAACAAUAAGAAAUUCUAACCAUUGGGUUGGUUGUAUCAAGUUUCAUACUUUAAAAAACUAUAAAAAAAAUUAUUUAGAAAACAAUUUGUUUACCUUUGAUGGCCUUGAUGGAGAACAACUUGGUUUCUUCUUCUACUUAGUUUAAAGAAUGCAUGAAGAAGAAGAAGAUUUCCCCUCUCCCACUGUUUUAAAUAUAUAUAUAAAUAACCUAUUAAUCAAGGUAAUUAAGUCACUAAUUAACCUUAAUUAGCUAUGAUCUAAUGGCCAUAAACUUAUCAUGAGAAAAUUAGUGGAAAUGUGUGGCAUUGAUAAUGGUUUGCCAAUAAUCAAACUUUGGGCAUGGUAAUAUUGCAAUCAGGUUUUUGGUUUAAUUACACUUUUAAGUACUUGCUAAAUUCUGUAAUCAAUUCCCACUAGGUGGGUCACUUGAACAAUUGGGUCCAUGUAUUAUAGUUACAACUUAUCCAAUUUAAUCAAUUAAUGAUUUGACUUUAUAAUUUCAUGUACAACACACAAACUCCUCCGGUAAAUUCUCAAGCUAGCUUUAUUUAAAAAUUUGGCCUCAAAACCAGCUUUCCAAAUGUUCAUGAAAAUUGAGUUGUUACAUUAUGGUAUUUGUUUUGUUCAACUUAUUUGUCAGGCUCUAUUCCUUUGAACUUAUGUUCGUUGACUUCAGUGUUGCUUAAAUGAAAAUGUGGUGAACAAUCUUAUGGAUAGGAGUGUAUGAUUGAGUAUGUGUAACACCCCUAACCCACAUCCUUCGCCAAAUUAAAGUGACAGAGUGUUAUUAUACAAAACAGAACAUUCCAUGACAACACAUAAACAAUUAUGCAAAUUAUCACAAUCAUUAAUUAACCAUAUUAAAAUAUAACAUAAGUAUCCAUACGACCUUUAAAUCGAGCUUAUAUGGCCUUAAAAAUAGCUUGGGAUCAAUCUAGGAUCAAUUUGGAACAUAACAUAAAUUUUAAGAAAAAUCUAAAAAUUUUGGGAAACAUGGGUCACACAACCGUGUGUCCAGGCCGUGUGACAUACCCCAGACCUUGUGGGAAUUCAAAAUUAGGAAACGCAAUCAUGUCCUAACCCGUAUGUCUACCUGUGUGAAUAUUUGAAAUAGGGUCUCACAGUCGUGUCGAGGCCAUGUGCUAAACCAUGUAUAUAUUCAAAUUAUGAACACAUGGCCGUGUCGCAAGCCAUGUGCUAGACCGUGCUCAAAACUAUUUUGAGACACACAGCUGUGUCUUAGGCUGUGUGAAAUUUUCACUUUAGACAACAACACACAGCCGUGUGCCAGGCCAUGUACACCAAAAUGUACCUUAAAAAUCAAAUUUACCAAAACAUUUUUACUUAGGCAUCAAGAAACCUAAUUACCAUCAAUCAAACUCAUUCAAAACACAAUUAAACAGGUUCAAAACAUCCAUCCUAAGUGCCUAGCCAUUGUGCCCUCAUUGACAUCAUAAUUCAAUAAUCAAAUCAAUCAGAUUUAAACCAAGAUUUAAACAUUCAAAUUGUAAAAUCAUCAUUAACCAUUCAUACCAAAACACUGAUCAUUUCAAGUCAUAAACACCUAGCAAUAUUCACAUACUUUAUAAAGCUUAACUACCAAUACCAAAUAAGAUCCAUACACACAUACAUACCAAACAAAACACAUAUUCACAAGUAUCAUUCAAGAUUUACAACUUUACAUGUAAUUAACAUAAUUUCAAGUCACUUAUUACAUGUCAUACAACCCAAAACAAACACUAAACAAACUACCAAUAGUUUCUCGAAUAGUGUGAUUCUUGAAAUAAAAUUGAUCACCCAAAGCGUCAAAAAUAAAUCUACAAGAAAGCAUUGGAAGAGACACAAGAGUAAGCUUACUUAAGCUUAGUAAUUUCGACGGAUUUAAACAAUCAACUUACCGAAUAAACUUAUCUAAUAUAGGGUAUAGAAAGUCAUAAAUCAUAAUCAUGUCAUCCAUAAUCAGAUCACGAGUGAGUCUUAAACUUAAAUAUGAAUUAAUUAAUUCAAUCAAUUACAUUAUAUCAGUAAAUUAUACCCGAUGAACGUUGCAAUGGAUUUGGAUACACAGUUAACCAACCAAACACACCAAAUCACUCAAAUGAGCUAGCCAUCUGAAAGUACACAUGGGCACCAAGUGCCAAGCCCAUAGGCUAACCUCCCUCCGAAACACACCUUGUCACCAAGUGCCAAGCCCGUAGGCUUUACAUCCGCCCCCGAAACACACCUGAAGCACUACAAUAUAACGCGAUAGUUCGCAACAAAUGUUGAACUUCAAUAUAUUCAAUAAACAUGAAUAAGAUCAGAAUCAUCAUCUCCACAUCCACCAAUCUCGUAAAGCGCACGAUAUAACCUAUUGACAUGCCAAUUGUAUCCUAUCAUACAUUCAUCGGCUCACAUAUUUGUCAUUUAACAACAUUUAAUACAAUUUCUUUCCCAAAUCAUUUCACUUACCACAAUUCAAUACUUCCAUGUCAUUUAAUAAUUUCAAUCCACAAGUAAUUAAAUAUUUAAAUUAUACUAAAAUUAAACUGUAAAAACUCACUAGGGCCAAACUGUAGAAACAACAAAAGUUCAGGGACUAAUCAACAACCUUCCCUUUUUCCACAAUUAUCAACUUGAUCUUGAUCUAUAAUAUAAUUUAUUUCAAUUAUUAGCCUCAAUUUUCAUAUUCUAAUCAUUUCAAUACAUAUGAUCUCUUAUUUAUAAAUUUACACAAUUAUCCCAAAUUUUUACACAUUAUACAAUUUAAUCCCUAUGACCAAAUCAAGCUUAGUUCUACAAUUAAAUUCUCAAUCCAUAGAACUAAAUUUUAACCACAUCCAAAACAAUCCAUAUAUGCUAAAAUUUUCAAGAGUAACAUGUCUAUUUCAGUUAAAUCACUAAACAUCAAAUUUUGUAAAAAUCACUUUACAAACUCAAUACAUAUGGUCACCAAGCUUCAACGCAAACUAUUUACUACUACAAAUCUUCGAAAAUUUCAAUACAUAAUUUCUAUACUUUGAUAACUUCACAAAUAAACUCCAAAACUAGCUAAAUUCCAUUAUCAAUAGCUCAAAACUUAAAAUUUAUGAUGAAUAAACCAAGAAAAUACUUACAUGCAUUAAAAACUAACAAAAACCAAGAUCCCAAGCCUUAGAACAAUGGUGUUUCAGCCAAACCUAAGAAAAAUAAAGAAGAUGACCACUACCCCACUUUUGUUUUACUUUCCUUUUAUUAUUAUAAUAAUCUUUAUUUAUGAAAUUAUAACAUUAUAAAACACCAAUUUAAAUAUAUUUUUUUUCUCUCUUUACCGCCCAUAUUAACUAACUAUGGGCUAAUGGCAACAUAACCCCCCUUAGUUUACUAAUUUAAGCUAUUAUAUUAAAAUAAAUCUAUAAUAAGCAACUUUUCCACCUAUUACAAAUUAAUCCUUUUUCUUUAAUCAAUUCACUAUACGUUAAAUUUUCUAAACCAAAACUUAAUACGACACUGAUGACUUUGUAAAUAUUAAAUAAUUAAUAAUUCUAGACAGACACGUCGAAAGUGUAGUCCUAAAACUAUUAUUUUCGACACCGCUGAAAAUCGGACUGUUAUAGUAUGGUUCUACCUCUUAGGGGGAGACAUAUUCUAGUUUCCUUUGACUUGUUUAGAUGAUGUGUUAAUCAUUUGCUACUGGUUUUGUCAAAAUGCCAAAUGGUGAGAUUGUUUGAAACUUUGUUCAUGUACGAACAGUAGAUUAAACAAUGCUUAAUUUGAUGCAUUCAAAGAAUUUAUGUUGGCAUGUUUGACUUUAUAAUGAAAUGGCUUAUGAUUUAAUCUCAUUGAGUAGCAAAUGGGGAAGUGAUUUUGUGUUAUAACAUGUGAUGAUCAUUAUCUUUCAAUCAACUACCUUGAAGAAGAAUGGGAGGAGUUUGAACUUUUGUGGACUUUCGUAAUAUUUGAAGCUGCUAAGAUACUUGUUUAUAAAGAAUUUUAUGAUAUAACUAAUCAAAAUAAUUCAUGUCAUAAUUUUUGGAGUUUUAAACUUAUGAAGACUCUAGUAUUGGCCUAUAAAUAGGCAUAAUUACCGCACAUUGAAAAUAGGCUUUUGGAGGGUUUAAGUUGGAUGCUUUGGUGAAUUUUUCUUGUGUUUUAUAUAACACUCUUUUUUAAGUUUUUAUUGGGGGAUAUUUGCUUGAUGUAAGUGAGAUAUUUUGGAGAGAGUGAUUUGUAAUAAUUUAGGUUCAAUAUUGAAGUUGCAAAUAAUUAUAAGGUAAUGGUAAUUUGGACUUUAGUCAAUAGUUAAUCAAGACGAAUUGUAAAUACAAAUUAUUUUUUAAGCGAAACUCUACAGAAUAAAACUAGUGAACUCAAACUACUGAACUCAAACUACGCUAACAAAUAUUACAUAUUAUCUUUCCUUACUUUACUCGUUGCUUUACCUUAUUUUAAAAUUGUUUUGUCAUAAAUGUAUUAUGUUUGAACCUUUCCAAUCGAAAUAAAAAAAAUGAGAUUGAAAUUGUGAUAAAGCUAAAAAAAGUUACAACAAAUAUGAUUAAUAUUAUUUUUAUAUAUACUUAAUAAAAGUUAAAAAGGGAAUUACAUUUAUUGAAUAUUAUUUUAUUUAAUAAAAUAUAAUUACUAUAUUUUAUAUAAAAUUUAAAUAUUUUAUUGUUUGUUAGUUAAAUUUUAUUUUCUUUAUUUUCUUUAUGAAUAAAAUUAAUUUUCCUAAAAUUUGAGAUAAAAAAUGUUAUAUAGAAAAUUAAAUUAGUAAAAAGUUUAAAAAAAUCAAUUCUAAAAUAAACUUAACUAUUAUAAUAAAAUAUUUUUAUAUAAAAAAAGAAAUUAUAGAAAAGACUUAUUGAAUAUAUUUCCUAUUUUCGACAUUCAUAAAAAAAAAAAAAAGUGGUCCUAAUAAUUUAUUUAUACAAAACAAAAAAAAGUGGUCCUAUUAAUUCACCUCACAUUUGAAAUGUGUUAUAUGUAAUAAUAUUAAUAUCUUUAUCAAUUUUGGAGGUUCAUCCAUUCCCAUCUCUAUAAAUUUGCAUGCAGAACUAAAGCAACACAUAUCAACACAAUCUGUAUAACCAUGAAAACCACAACAGCUUCGGUGUUUCUUCUUUUCAUCAUCUUCUCAAUCACACCAUUGUCCUUUUCGUUUGGUGUGGCCAACACUACAAACGCUCCUGUGCUCGACAGUGAUGGCAACGAGCUCCGCACAGGCACCCCAUACUUCGUUGUGUCGUNNNNNNNNNNNNNNNNNNNNNNNNNNNNNNNNNNNNNNNNNNNNNNNNNNNNNNNNNNNNNNNNNNNNNNNNNNNNNNNNNNNNNNNNNNNNNNNNNNNNGGGGCUUGCCCUAGGCAUGCCUAGAGGAAACCCAUGCCCGGAAGUCGUUGCUCAAAGAGGAUCCGGUGACGAUGGUAUUCCGGUGAUAUUUUCUAAUUCGGACUCCAACGAUGGCGUUGUUCGCCUAUCCUCUGACAUAAACAUAGAGUUCAUUCCCCUCAGACCCAGAUUUUGCCAAACAACAACGGUGUGGAAGGUCGAUGAUUACGACCACUCAGCCGGAAAAUGGUGGGUGAUAACCGAUGGGGUUAAAGGGAACCCAGGUGCCAACACUUUGACCAGUUGGUUUAGAAUAGAGAAGGCGAGUCAUCUUGAUUACACAUUUAAGUACUGCCCCGCAGUAUGUGGAACAUGCCCGGCUUUAUGCAACAAAAUUGCGAGAGACUUGGAUGGAGAAAUGAUGCGUUUGGCUCUCUCCACUGACCAUGGAUGGCCAUUUUUCUUUAAGAAACUUCAAACAUCAGCCAUGGAGAUUGAACAAGUUGUUCAUAAUUAGAUUGAAAGCAAUCAUUAUGCAUGAACUAGUAGUUACUAUACAAUAUUAGCUUCAAGUAAAUAAUGCUGAGAGAACUGAUUGUUAAGAUUGCCAUGUUUGAAGCAGAAGCAUGCAUAUAUAUAUGCUUGCCUACAAGGUUUGUCUCUCAGAGUCCUCUUUGUACUCUUUUCAGCUUAAUAUAUAAACUGUCUACUUAUUUACUUCUUUUAUUAAUGCCAUUGAUUCUAGUAGUAUUAGACUCAUUAACUUGGAUACAUUGUCUUGUAAUUAACCCAAAAAUUAUAUAUAUAUCAAAAAAAAAAAAGAGAGUGAGAGAGGAAAAUAGACUAGCAAGUAACAAGCGAAAAAUGGUAAUACUAGGGUUAUUUAGAGUGGUUUCAAUGCACAACCGGAAUGAAUUGUUACCUUAUCUUUAGAGUCAAAGAAGGGUUCGUGACUAGUCUUUCAACAAUACUAUUUUCAAGGUUCGAACCUGUAUUAUCCUUUAAAUACGUAAUGUAUUUUAUCAUUACACUCAAUAAUAUUAGUAAUUUGCUUUAUUCUAUUCUUAAUUAAUAAUUAUGAUAUAUAUAAAGUUUAAGAUGGAUUUUCUUAUUCAUAUAUAUCAAUUAAAUCAAAUAUUUGUAUUUAAAGUUUUAACCGAACAUUAACUUUUUUUUUUAAUUUCUUCGUUUGUUGGUGGUGAUUAGGAGAUUGAUGGCCGGUCUUUGUGAUUGGUAGCUUUUAACACAAUGGCGAAGCUAAGGAGGCUUUAAAUGUUUAAAUGAUUUUUUUUUUCAAUUGAAACUUCUUUAUAAUUUAUAAAAUUUUAAAUUAAUAAUAAUAAAAUUACAUUUUAAUUUUUUAAAAAUGAUAAAAACGUGGAAGCACAUUUGUACGAUUAAUAAUAAUGAUAAUAUUUUUCCUACCACAUGGAAGUUUAUGGAAACACCAUUGGGUUUUGUAUUUAUGUUUUAUUCGACCCUCUUAUAAGUUUUACUGGGGAGAUUUGCUUGAUUGUAAGUGAGGUAUUUUGCGGAGAGUGAUUUAUAAUAAUUUAAAAUUAAUAUUGGGGUUACAAAUAACUAUGGGAGUAAAGUAGUUUAGACUUUAGCUAAUAAUUGAUCAAGAUGGAUUGUAGAAUAAAAUCAUUUUCGAAGCAAAAUUUUAUAAAAUUAGGAAAUCUGAAUUACGUUAACAAAUAUUGAUAUUAUCUUUCUUCACUUUAGUCCUUGCUUCACCUUAUCUCAAAAUUAUUCUAUAAUAAUCUAUUUUGUCUCAACCUUUUCAACAGAAUUUAAAAUGCAACUAUUUCUAACAAGUGCAAACCAAAAACUUUUUCACAUACCAAUAAAUGGCAAGCAACCAUACCGUGGGCCCAAUGUCCCAACAAUCAUCUAAACAUUUUUUUUUCUUUUUUAAAUAAUAUGUAAUAAUUUAUAUACCAUAAAUGAAUAUUAAUUAAAAUAAUAUAAACAAAAUAGGACUCUUUAAUAUAAUAUGGAUCCAAAAUGUUUCAUAUUUGAAAUGCAGUUUUUGAUAAUUUCACAUUUCAUAUUUUAUCUUAGAACAAAAAGAAAAUUUGAAUUUAAUAUUUGGACUAUUGAUCAAUGGUGUUUAUUAUAUUUCAAGACUAUCAGAUUAAUCUGUCGAUACUACUUAUAUGGUAUGGUUUAAAUGGGUGUGUGUAUAUAGAAAUUUGAAAUUCUAUUGUAUCAAAGAAAAUUUUUUUUAAAAAUAAAAUAAAAAGGAAUUUGAAAUUUAAAAUUUGAGAUCAAAAUAAAAAAAUGAGACUUGUUAUAAACCAUAAGGCUCAAAAAAGGUUACAACAAAUAUGGUUAAUAUUAUUUUUAUAUAUACUUAAUAAAAGUUUAAAAUAUCGAAUUUGUAAUAUUAUUUUUAUUUAAUAAAAUAUAAUUAAUAUAUUUUAUAUAAAAUUUAAAUAUUUUAUUGAAAUAUUAUGUUAGGUAAAUUUUAUUAAUUUUAUUUUCUUUAUAAAUAAAAUUAAUUUUAUUAAAAUUUGAGAUAAGAUAAUUAAAUUAAUAAAAGGUAUACUUCAUAUUUUAUAGUUAUUAUAAAUAAAAAAUUAUUAUAAAAAUAAAAAAAAAGAAUUCUACAACAUAAUGAAAUAUUUUUAUUAAAAAAAACAGAAAUGAUUGAUGGAAUAUAUUUCCAAUUUUCGACGUUCAUUAAAAAAAAAAAAGAGUGGUCCUAAUAAUUGAUUUAUUGGGGGAAAAAAAGUGGUCCUACUAAUUUACCUCACAUUUGAAAUGUGUUAUAUGUAAUAAUAUUAAUAUCUUUAUCAAUUUUGGAGGUUCAUCCUUUCCCAUCUCUAUAAAUUCGCAUCGAGAAAUAAAGCAAUACAUCAACGCAAUCUGUAUAACCAUGAAAACCACAACAGCUUCAGUGUUUCUUCUUUUCAUCAUCUUCUCAGUCACACCAUCAUCUUUUUUGUUUGGUGUAGCCAACGCUACAAACGAACCUGUACUCGACAUUGAUGGCAACGAGGUUCAAACAGGCACCCCAUAUUAGGUUGUGUCGUCCAUAUGGGGUGCUGGUGGUGGGGGGCUUGCCCUAGGCAGGCCUAGCGGAAACCCAUGCCCGGAAGUCGUUGCUCAAAGACGAUCCAGUGACGAUGGUAUUCCGGUGAUAUUUUCUAAUUCGGACUCCAACGAUGGCGUUGUUCGCCUAUCCUCUGACAUAAACAUAGAGUUCAUUCCCCUCAGACCCAAACUUUGCCGAACAACAACGGUGUGGAAGGUCGAUGAUUACGACCAUUCAGCCGGAAAAUGGUGGGUGAUAACGGAUGGGGUUAAAGGGAACCCAGGUGCCAACACUUUGACCAGUUGGUUUAGGAUAGAGAAGGCGGGUGAUCUUGAUUACACAUUUAAGUACUGCCCCGCAGUAUGUGGAACAUGCCCAGCUUUAUGCAACAAAAUUACGAGAGACUCAGAUGGAGAAAUGGUACGUUUGGCUCUCUCCACUGGCAAUGGAUGGCCAUUUUACUUUAAGAAAGUUGGAAAAUCAGCCAUGGAGAUUCAACAAGUUGCUCGUAAUUAGAUUGAAAGCAAUCAUUAUGCAUGAACUAGUAGUUACUACAUAAUAUUAGCUUCAAGUAAAUAAUGCUGAGAGAACUUAUUGUUAAGAUUGCCUUGUUUGAAGCGGCAGCAUGUAUAUAUAUAUGCUUGCUUACAAGGUUAAUUUGUCUCUCAGAGUCCUCUUUGUACUCUUUUCAGCUUAAUGAAUAAACUGUUUACUUAUUUACUUCUUUUGUUGCCAUUGAUUCUAGUAGCAUUCGACUCAUUAACUUGGAUACAUUACCUUGUAAUUAACCAAAAAGUUAUAUAUAUAUAUAUAUCAAAACAAAACAAAAAAGAGAGUGAGAGAGGAAAAUAGACUACCAAGUACCAAGUGAAAAAUGGUAAUACUAAAUUUCCAGAUAUAUGGCAUUGUUUGUGUGUGACAAACACCAAGUAUAAAUAGGUGGAAGUAUGACUACUUAUCAAGAGUGGUAUGGUUCAAAAACUACCCCUAUCGAAUUAUUUCAUCCUACUCAUUCGUUAUCGAUAGGAAGAAGGAUACUUCCAACAAGAAAUAUUUUGAAGGGUUAGUGUUGAGUUAGCUAAAAAUCAAAGUUUAUCAGAAGCUCGAUCUAAAAUUCGCCAAAAAGAGGAUUAUUCAAAGCGAUUUCAAUAGACAACGGGAAUGGAAUAGUCUUUGAGUGGUUAGGGCACCUUAUCUUUUGAGAUAAAGAAGGGUUGGUCCAUGUUUGCAGUUCGUGACUAAUCCUUACAACAAUGUCGUUUUCAAGGAUUGAACAUGUGUCAUCCUUUGAACAUGUAAUGUGUGUCGAAACCGUUUUUUGAAAACAAAAAUUUCAGUUGUCGACUUUUAAAAAUAAAACUGGAGUCGCCACCGAUCUUUUAUUAAGGUGUGAUCGGCCCACCUUAAAAAUUAUUUUGGUCUGCGAGUUUUGAAAAUAGGUUCGGGAGUCGAUUACGCACGAGGAAGGGUUAGCACCCUCGUGACGCCCAAAAUCGGUACCACAUUGAUUAUUUAAUGUUUUAGUGUCGAAGGUUAAAAAAGAUUUUAAAAUAAGCUCAAAUGAUGGAAUUUGAAAAAGGAUAAUCAAUUGUUCAAGUCAUGUAAAGAAAUCGAGUCCCAAUACGUUAGGGUACAAUUCCUCAUAAUCCCCGAACUUUGAAUAUCACUUUUAUUUUAUGUGAAAAUUUUCAUUUCGAGAAAGUAACAUGCCACACCCAAUACGUUAGGGCACGACAAGUUAAGUUUCCAAAAAUGAUUUUUAUACUCAUGCAUUUUGAAUAAAGAAUAUCCUCGGUCAUUUAAGAUUAACGAAGAAAAUCCGAACCCAAUACGUUAGGGCUCAAUUUCCUUCGAAAAUCCCCAAACUUCGAAUAAUGCCUUUAUUCAAAAAAAAACCUUUGAAUCAAGAAAAUAACUUUGAUGAAUGGUUAAAACCAAAAUAUAUUUUCAAAAGGGUAUGUUAAAAAGUUAAUAUACAAUAUGAUACAAAUACUUUAAUUUACAGCAUAUACGAAUAAAUAUUUACAAAUUUAGAUAUACAAAUACAAUAUACCAGUAAAUUUGCAAACAUGUGUACGCAUAUAUUUGAUGCACAUAUACAAUAAUACAUAUAAAAAGAUGGAAAAAAAAUGCAUGUAUGUAUGAGUAUGAAAAUCGUAAAAAUAAAAUAAAAGUAUAAAGAUAUGCAUAUGUGUAUAUAUUUUCAAAAAUAAGGAAAAUGUAUUAGCAUAUAUAUAUAUAUAAUAUAGAGUAUAUAAAAGUAAAAAUAAAAAUGAAAACGUAUGUAUAUGCGUAUAUACUUACAAUAAAAGAACAAAAUAUAUAUAUAUAAAUAUAAUAUAUAAAUAAACUAUGAAAAAAAAAAUAUGUGUGUGAAAAUCUGUAUGUAUAUAAAAAAAAAUGAAGUAUGAAAUGUCAGUGUAUAUAAACUAUAAAACAAUAUAUACAUAUAUAAUAUAUACGAAUUUCCAAAGCUUAGAAUAUAUAUAUAUAUAUAUAUAUAUAUAUAUAUAUAUAUAUAUAUAUAACUACUACUACUUAAUACAUUAAAGCCUACUACCUAAUAUCAUGCAUUCGAACACCUUAUGAUAUUCCAAACUAAUAAUUUCUUAUCUUCAAUUCCAUUCAAGAAUUUUUACAUGAAUAUACAUACAUAAUCGAACCUCCCUUAUACAUAUAUAAAUUUCAUACUUAAACUCAUUACAGAAUAUAUAUAUGCAUAUUUGCAUAAUUGAACCUCAUAUAAACUAGUAUAAAUGGCAUACCUAAAUUCAAUACAAGGACAUAUACAUGUAUAAUUGCAUAUUAUAGAUCCAAUACAANNNNNNNNNNNNNNNNNNNNNNNNNNNNNNNNNNNNNNNNNNNNNNNNNNNNNNNNNNNNNNNNNNNNNNNNNNNNNNNNNNNNNNNNNNNNNNNNNNNNACUAUAUAUAUAUAUACUACUACUAUACUAGUAUAUAUAUAUAUAUAUAUAUAUAUAUAUAUAUAUAUAUAUAUAAACAUGCCUAUAUAAAGUACGCAUAUGUACAGGUAUAGAAAAUGUGGCAGUAAAUAUGACAGUAAGUAAUAUAAUAAUACUAAUAAUGGUAUAAUGAUAAAAAAAAAUAAUUGAAGAAAAAAAAUGAUCCAAAUUGAAUUAAAACGGAAAUGGGGACAAAUAUAAAAAAACUAAUUUGGAAACACGCCCAACAAUGGAGGACUAAAAGCGAAAUUAAUCCCGUCCAUAAAAUGUUGUGCAGUGAUGGACUAAAUUGAGACAGAAACGAAAUGUGAGGCUAAAAUUAAAAGAAAUAAAAAAGGAUUUAAUUGAAGUGCGCCACAAAAAAGAAGGACCCAUAGCAAAAAUAUCCCAUUUAAGGGCGGAACAUGUGGAUCCUCCUUGGUGAAACGGCGCCGUUUUUUGUAACACUAUUUAAAUCAAAAUUUUCCCUUUUAAAAUUCUGAUAGCCCAAUUUAAAAAAAAUAAAACUAAAUGCUGCCCUUUUAUUCACUCUGCUAGGGUUUCUUCAACCUUUUUAGCGCCGCCGAUCACCUGCUCCUUCACCCAAGCCCCGAUUGCGACGGAUAUGGUGGCGGCACGGUGGCUCCGACGAAAAGGUAGGCUUUCCUUUCCUUGUAUUCGAAGAAAAGUACUGGUAUUCGGUUUUUCUUUUAUAUUUUCCCCUCUAUUUCCGUAUAUCUUUUACCGAAAAUUCCCCCAACCAAAGUGUUUCAAAUCGGUUUUUAUAACCGAAUCUUAGAAAAGAAAAUAAAAAAUAAAAUCAAAAAAAAUCUAAUUUUUUUUGUUAUAUUUCUUGUGGCUUGUGGUUUUCAUGAUAGGUGUGCGACGACUGCAGCAACGUGGGAAUCGACGUGCUGCGAUGGAGGCGCGAUCUGCGAAGCUGGUUGUGGCUUGCGACGGCUAGUGGUUUUCUUCUGCUUAGGGUGUCUGUUAUUUUUUGUUUUUUGGGCUAGGUUUAGUUUGGGCUUAGGUUUAGUUUAUUGGGUUUGUUUAUUUGCUUGGGCCCGGGCAUUAUUGGGCUUGUACAAUGUGUCUUACAAUUACACCUAACAUUGUUGGUGAUUUACUUUAUUAUAUUCUUAAUUAAUAAUUAUGAUAUAUAGUAUGUUUAAGAUGCAUUUUCUUAUUCAUGUAUAUCAAUUGAAUCAAAUAUUUGUAUUUAAAAUUUUAACUCGACAUAUCGAAGGUCUGCUACUCUAGCACGUCUUUGGUCUGCUGCUCUAGCAUGUUUUGGUUUUUUUAGGGUUUUUUUUUGGCUUAUUUCUCUUUGUUCUAGCGAUGACAGUUUUGGGAUAGAGUAUUUCUUUUCAAUCUGGUUGAUUUUGAUUCGUGGCAAUGGAGGAUGAAUUGGCAGAGUUAACAUUGGAAGAUGAGGAAUAGGAGAUUUUGCAAGUACAGAAGGAAACUGAUUCUGCGACAGUGGUUUAAGAUCUUUGUCUGGUUGGAUACUUUCUCACAACGAGUGUAAUCCACUUUAUGACAAUGAGAAGCGCGAUGGCGAAUCUAUGGCAUCCUCUUAGAGGAGUUCAGAUCUCUAAUUUGGGGGAUAAGAAAUUAUUUCAAUUUUUUCAUAAAAUGGAUAUUGAUAGGGUACUAAAUGGGGAUCCAUGGACUUUCAAUAAUCAUCUUUUGGUGAUUCAUUUUUUGGAGGAUGGUGAGGAUCCGAUGAAGGUACCGCUAAUCUAUACGACUUUUAAGGUGCAAGUGCAUGAUUUACCCCCAGGGUUUUUUACUGAAUCUAUAGCAAAGAAGUUAGGCAAUUUUAAGGGUAAGUUUUUUGGAUCAAUAGAAAAAGCUUGGGUAAGGGCCUCAGGAAUUUCUUACAUAUACGGGUUUAGAUGGAUGUUAGAUGCUCUUUGAAGCGAAAAAAGAAGAUUAUGUUUUCACUUGGCAAGUGUUCCUAUGUCAACUUGAUAUACGAAUGACUAACUCUAUUCUAUUUUGUCUAUGGUUGUUUGGUAGACAAUGACUCUUUCUGUCAAGUUAGAAUGGCUAAAGGCUUAGAAGUUGUAGAGAUGGGAUGGUAUCUGUCUCUAAAAGCCCAGUCUAGGAGAGCUACUACGAUGAACAGUGUGUGGCUGCGGGAGGAAGGUAAAGGUGAGAUAAAGGGAAAUACCAUAGGACAUUUUGAUUUAGGGUAGGGAUUGUGGAAGGAUGGAAGGAAAGAAUCUAGGAUGCCCAUAGAUCUGUGUUGGGGUUAAAUUUGGAGGGUGGUUUGAAGUUAGUGUCGGGUAUGCAAGGGAACUCUUCAACGAUACAAGAUCAUUCGAAUAUGGAUCACGACUCAGAGGAAUGCGCUAUAGAAGGUAAAGAUGGGAAAAAAAAGACCCAAAAAGGAUAAUGGAAAUCAUAGUGUUUCGAUUGUGACAGAUUCACUUGUGAUUAGAGAUGAGAGAUUGUUGGGACGAACUCACUUUUUAUCGGCAGCUGCCAAGGGGCAAGAUGAUCAGUCACAAUAAAAAUAAUUAGUUGGAACAUCCAUUGAUUGGGGUGUCCACAGGCUAUAAGAAGGCUUUGACAUAUGUUGAAGGUGUAUAAUCCCCAAGUGGUCUUCUUUAUGGAGACAAAAAUUAGUAAUGUGCAAAUAGAGAAUGUGCAUAGAAGGUGUGGAUUUUUAAAUGGUAUUGAUGUUUCGGUCGAUGGUUCAAGAGGAGGUCAUUUUCUAGCUUGGAAGGAAAAUGUUAAAACGAAUCUAAUGAGUUAUUCUAGUAGUCAUGUAGAUGUUGUAUUUUAGAAGAUUGAUAAUGGAGGUUUGCUGGCUUUUAUGGGACAUCAAAUGCGUGUAGCAGAGACGAUUCAUGGAAUUUGUUAAGAAAUCUAGGACGCUCUCAAGCGUUCCCUUGGCUAGUGUGUGACAAUUUUAAUGAAAUUAUAUACUCUUUUGAAAAGGUUGGGGUGCCAAGAGAGGAGAAGAGAAUAGAGGUCUUUCGAGGAGUCUUAUAGGAAUGUUAGUUAAUGGACAUUGGAUACUUUAGGGCUAGGUUUACCUAGGAAAGGGGAAACUUACCGAAAACGAAUAUGAGAGAGCGACUGGAUAGAAGAGUGGCGAAUGCCGAAUGGAUGAACAUGUUUUCUAGUGCAGUGGUUUAGCAUUUACCACAUUCUUUUCCAGAUCAUUGUCCCCUUUUUAAUCAUACGGAGCAGGAGAGUAAUAGGUUGAGGCAGAAAAGGUUUCAGUCCGAGGCAUGGUGGGUGAUGUAAGAAUCUUUUGAGGAGGAGGUUAAACAAAUAUGUCAAUCUACUUCGGGUGAUAUGUUGGCUAAGCUAGAAGGUGUGAGGAAGGGCUUAGUGAGAUGGGCGGGUUUUGUUAGAAAUAAAAGAGAGGGCCUUAAAAGGAAUUUGACUAGAAAAUUGGAGGAGAUGAUGGGAAAGGAUAGAGAUGAUGAGAAUAUUGUUGAACUAUCUUAAAAUUCUCUUGUCAUAACUUGAAGUUUGUGUCAUUUAAUAUAAGAAUACAAUUAAUGCUUGCAAUAAUGUUGGCAGGUAUAAUUAUUGUUGUAUCAAACAAAACAAUCUCAUGUAUGACUUCAAAUAUAAAACAAAAUAAUAAUUAAUUCGAAUAAAGGUAAACCCUAAGAUACCAAUCACUCCAUUAAUAUUUCAUUUUUGAACAAAUAUAUUAAGUUGUAAAUGAUAUCUUGGUGUAGUAAUUAAACACCGACAAUAACCAUCACAUGUUUAUUACAACAGUUGCAAAUGUAAUUUUGUUAAAUAUUAGCCUCUAUUUAGGCCAGUCAAUAUUAACAUAACUUAAGUUACAUACACACAACCCCAAAUUUAUAAAAGUCCUAUUGUUAAAUUGAUUUGGUUCCUUUGACAUAGGAAAGCUGAAUUGCAUAAACAAUCAAUGUAUCCCCUAUUUUAUUCAUGUUUAUCACAAUGUUUGAAGGAGUGCUCACUCUUUUAGGGCGUGCUUACCAUUGAGGUUGAAAAGUAUCAUUAAACCCAAACAAUUAUUUCAAACCAAACAUUAAUUUUAAACUAGGAUUUUAGGCCAACCCAAAACUUCUAGCUUUUACUUUUUGGAAAGGUGCUUUUCAAUUAAAAAUCUUUUUAUUCCUCGUUAAACCUUCUACUUUAUAACAUAAUGUCUAAAAUGGAAAUUUUAUUUUUCUAAAAACACUUAUAGACAACAAUAAUAAUUACUAUCAAUUUUUUCAAAAUCACUUUUCUACGUCACUGUUAAACUUAAAUGAUAAUCUGGCCUUUUAACCACUCUUUUCUAACAGAGAGCUUAUCUCUUAGCAAUAGUUUGGGCAAACAAAAAUAAUGUAUAUAUGAAAACGAAUAUUGAAUUUGAAUGUACAAUCAAUUUUCUGAAUAAUUAAUUAAAAAGAAUGUUUGAAUUCAAAAAUUUUAAAAAUUUUGAUAAAAAAUGUGGAAGCGCAGACUUGUGUGAUGAAUAGUAAUGAUAAUAAUGAUAGAAGCUGUUUUCCUGGCACGAGGAACUUAUGGAAUUCGUCCAUUUGGUUCUAUAUUAGCCCUGUUGCUUCCGUGUUUAAGAGUAAAACGACAAAAUAUUAAGUAGAAAACACCAAACGAAUUGAACUAUUUUCUUAAGAUGGUGUCGGUAAUGUAUCUGUGGAUACCCAUUUGAAUUUUUAAAAAACUGAAAAAAUUAAUUUAUUUUUUAGAUUGAAUCAGCAGCAAGAAAAUAAGAAAAAAUACAACUUUGAGUUUGAGUUUGAGUUUGAAACUCUGAGAUUUCGCUCGGUAAUCUGAACGGUGAGGUGGUAUGUUUAAAUACGGAGAAUAAUAUAUAUUCGACUAGCAACAAUAUGAUGAAGUGAAAUAGGAACUGAAGAAAGGGUAAUUUAAAGUUUUGGUCAUUGUUUUAAAAGAUUACCUUCAGUCAUUAUAUUUUUCAGUUUUGGAAUUCCAGUACUACUUAAAUUGUAAUUAUUAAAUCUAUUUACUAUAAUGAUAUAAAAUUUUUAUAAAUAUUAUGUGAAAAUAAAUAAACACUUGUUUUUUUUAAAAAGCACUUAUUCACGGCACAAGGAACUUAUGAUGAAUAGUAAUGAUAAUAAUGAUAGAAGUUGUUUUUCUGGCACAAGGAACUUAUGAUGAAUAGUAAUGAUAAUAAUGAUAGAAGUUGUUUUCCUGGCACAAGCAACUUAUGGGAUUCGUCCAUUUGGUUCUAUAUUUCUCCGCUUGCUUGAGCGUUUAAGAGUUAAAGGACAAAUUAUUAAGUAGAAAACACCAAACGAAUUGGAAGGCUUUUGUCUUCUUCAAUUAGUAUGACCUAUAUUUCUUAUUAAACUUCGUAUUUUACAUUCAAUAUCAUCAUCACAAUCAUUUUAAUUUAUUUUCAUGAAUAAACUUUUAUGUCUCAUUUUAAUUGAAUCAUUAAAAAUUAUUAAUUGAAUUUUUUUAAGAUAGUACCGGUAAUGUGUCAAGUGAUAUCAAUUUAAAUUUUUAAAAAAAGUUGUUUGAAUUAAUUUGAUUACCGGUAAUGUGUCAAGUGAUAUCAAUUUAAAUUUUUAAAAAAAGUUGUUUGAAUUAAUUUGAUUUCGUUCGGUAAUCUAAACAGUGAGAUAGUGUGUUUAAUUACGGGGAAUAACAUAUAUCCAACUGGUGACAAUCUGGUGGAGCGAAACAGAUAUCGAAGAAAGAGUAGUUUAAUGAAUUUGGAGUGACUUCUGGGAAAUCUGAAUUAUAGAAGUGAACGAAGAGGAAAUCUCUUCUUUGGUGCCGUAAUCGACAUAAACAGCCAUUAUGAAUGACAACAUCGAUAAUUAUUGAGUACAAUGAUUAAAAUUUUCAGUUAAAAAAAAGGAAUGGAAAGGAAAACAAAAAGAAAAACGUGGAAAGAAAGAAAGAAGAAGAAUAAUUAAUUAAUAAAUAAAAAGAGAAUUGUGGGGGCGAUGCUUUUGAACAAAUCUUGAUUUAAACUAUAUAAAGAAAAUAUGCGUUAUAUAUAUAAUUAAUUAUGCACUUAUACUUAAUAUAUUAUAUAUUUAAUGUCAUAUUUUCAUAUUCUCGGGAAGUGGUAAUAUACAAGUACUUGAUUUGAUUUAUUUCUUGAUCGCUUCGUGAAUUUUAGGUUUGUAACAAUAGGGAUAGAAUUUCUUCAAUUCCAAUCGACUGGGCGUAUUGUGUCAAUUUUUUUGAGUAAUAUACCUAGAAAUACCGGUUAAUUCUUUAUAAACGCCGUUUCAAACACAACUGGUACACCCCAAAAUAACCGUUACUCAAACAUCUUUACUAUUGACCAUGAACCUCCUUUGAGUUUUUAAUUCACCCAACUUUUCUAUUUUCCAAUCAAAAGCGAAGAAGAAAGGAAUAAAAAAAAAAAGAAAGAAAUCAAAGUUGCUAACUCAAAACCAAAUCCUGAAAAAUUUGGUUGCAAUCAAUAUAGCAAGUCAAUAUAAAUUUAUAGUAAUAGCAAAUAAUAAGAAUAAGUAAUACAACGAUUUCUAACUCAAUUUAGAAUCAAAUUAGAGUAUGGUAUUUUCUUUAAUCAAUUAAUUGAAUUCAAAAAGUUCAAUUAAAAUAAAUUAAAUUGUAUAAAUUUUAUAAUUUUAAAUUAUUAUUUUUGUAUUAAUUUAAAAACAAAAUAAAUAUUAUAUACAAUAAUUUAGUUGCAGCAUGUCAGCUUGAAGUCUAAGACCUUAUAACAUAUAAAUUUAAUAGAUAAUUAAUAACUAAAAAAUUAAAUAGCAAAAGCAUAAUUGCGCCACUUCUCACCAUUUUAAUGUAUGCAACUUAUUAUAUAUUUAUAUAUAUUAUCAUUUCAUUUUAAAUAAUUUAUUUUUUAUAUUAAUUUUUAUAAAUUUAGGGAUAAAUCUUAAAAUUAUACAUAAACUUUAAUUUGGUGCAAUAUUUAUACACAUGAUACUCUAAUUGUGGUUCAAAUACAUACUUGAAACUUUAAUUUUGAUUUAAUCAUACACAUUUAAAUAAAUAAAUACAUCAAUUUUUUUUUAUAUUGGGUAAAUAUAAUUAUUUAUGUAUGCAAUAUAUAACAUAAAAUGAUGUUAUAUCAAUAAUUGUGUUAAUAAUUUACAAGAAUUGGAUCAAAUCAAAAUUUCAUGUAUAAAAUUGCACAAAAUCAAAGUUCAUGUAUACAAUUACACAUUAAACCAUAAUUCAUGUAUAGUUUUAGUAUUUAUCCCAUAAUUUAUUAAAUAAACUUUUUACCUAUAUCAUAUAUAGAGUUGUCUGUGAACCGAGCCAAGGAAUGCCCGCUCGAAAAAAUGAGAGGGUUUAAGAAAAAAAAUACCCAAAAAAGGGGGCUUGGAUAAAAAGACAAGGCCCGUUUAGAAAAUGAACCGGGCCUUUGCUAAGGUUUUUUUUGUCCAAGCUCAACCCGACCCAAAUUUUCAAUAAAAAACCCUACUGUUUUUACCGCUAUUUUCCCAUAUUUUGGUGUUGUUUUCUCACUUUUUACCACUGGUUUACUAUCAUUUCACUAUUAUGUUACUACUAUUUUUUUUGUUAAUGUUUGGAUAUUGUAUAACACUUGUUUUAUUGUUAAUUUUGUCAUUAUUUUAGAGGCAUUUGUUUGUUAUGUUGUACUCAUCUUAGUUUUUAUUUAAGUAUAAAAAAUUUUUAAAAUUUAUUUUUAAUUUAUUGGAAACAUGUAAUUUAAUAUUUGUAGUAUAUUUGGUGUAUUAUAAUAAAUAUUUAUUAUUAAAAUAUUAAUAUUGAAUAUUUUCAAUAAUAUGUGAAGAAUAUUUUUUAAAAUUAUUUUUUAAAAUUUAUUAUUAAAUUAAAAUUGAAAUAUUAAAUAAUUUAUUAAAACAAUUAAUUAUAUUAAUAAUUAAUUAUAUGACUAAAUAUAAACAAUUAAAUAUGUAUGUUUAAUAAUAUUGAAAAAUAUAAUAUUUUAUAUUAAUAUUUUAAAUAUUUUUAAAAAUAAAAAUAAAAGUUAUUUUAAUAUAAUAAUAUUAAGCUUGAUUUAAAUUAAUUUUUAUAUAAAAAUAAAAUUACCUAUAGAUGAGCUCAUUUUUAGAAAAUGACUUACACUUUUCAAAAGGAUAAGUCAUUUUAUAGGAAAAAGAGCUUAUUUUACGUUGACCUGUAAGUCAUUUUUCGUUGACCAAACUGUUUUCUGUAAAACAAACAUAGGAAAAUGCAGAAAAUAGUUUCCGUAAAACUUUUUACAUGUAAACAAACGGACCCUUAAUUCAAGCUUAUUCCAACAUAACCCACUUCACUAUUAGCAUGACUCUCCCUUAUACUAAGUUUAACCAUUAACCCUUCUCAUGAUUUCUAACAAAAAUUUUCAAGUUCUCGUUAAUGGCAACUUGUAUUAACUUCAACAAUAAGAAAUUCUAACUAUGGGGUUGGUUGUAUCAAGUUUCAUAGUUUAAAAAUCUAUAAAAAAAAUUUAUUGAGAAAAUAAUUUGUUUACCUUUGAUGGCCUUGAUGGAGAACAACUUGGUUUCUUCUUCUACUUAGUUUAAAGAAUGCAUGAAGAAGAAGAAGAUUUCCCCUCUCCCACUGUUUUAAAUAUAUAUAUAUAAAUAACCUAUUAAUCAAGGUAAUUAAGUCACUAAUUAACCUUAAUUAGCUAUGAUCUAAUGGCCAUAAACUUAUCAUGAGAAAAUUAGUGGAAAUGUGUGGCAUUGAUAAUGGUUUGCCAAUAAUCAAACUUUGGGCAUGGUAAUAUUGCAAUCAGGUUUUUGGUUUAAUUACACUUUUAAGUACUUGCUAAAUUCUGUAAUCAAUUCCCACUAGGUGGGUCACUUGAACAAUUGGGUCCAUGUACUAUAGUUACAACUUAUCCAAUUUAAUCAAUUAAUGAUUUAACUUUAUAAUUUCAUGUACAACACACAAACUCCUCCGGUAAAUUCUCGAGCUUAGUAUAAACACCCAUUAGAUAUUAGAACUCAUAACACAUUUAGAGAAUUUUGUGUUUACGUUUUGAGGGUUCUUUGAUUUCGGGUUUUUGAGGUUUAGUUUUAUCUCCAUCUUUUGUACUCUUCGUUCUUUUGCCAUUAUAGUAAAAUUAUCUUUACCCGUGGUUUUUUAUCCUCUUUGGAGGGGUUUUUCCACGUUAAAUUUGUGUGUUCAAUUUCUCAAUUUAUUCCGCUAUUUUUGUUACUUGUUGCUUAAUCGGGACGAUCCCUAACAUCAAUUAAAUCAAAUAUUUGUAUUUAAAGUUUUAACCCAACGUUAACUUUUUUUUUAUUUCUUCGUUUGUUGGUGGUGAUUAGGAGAUUGAUGGCCGGUCUUUGUGGUUGGUAGCUUUUAACACAAUGGCAAAGCCAAGGAGGCUUUAAAUGUUUAAAUGGAAUUUUUUUCAUUUAAGCUUCUUUAUAAUUUAUAAAAUUUUAAAUUAAUAAUAAUAAAAUUACAUUUUAAUCUUUUAAAAUUAAUAAAAAUGUGGAAGCACAUUUGUACGAUUAAUAAUAAUGAUAAGAUUUUUCCCACCACAUGGAAAUUUAUGGAAACGCCAUUGGGUUUUGUAUUUAUGUUUUAUUUGACACUCUUUUAAGUUUUAUUGGGGAGAUUUGCUUGAUUGUAAGUGAGCUAUUUUGGAGAGAAUAAUUUGUAACAAUUUAGAUUCAAUAUUCGGGUUGCAAAUAAAUAUAGAGUAAAGUAAUUUAGGCUUUAGCUAAUAGUUAAUAAGGUAAAUUGUAGAAUAAAAUCAUAUUCUAAACAAAACUUUAUAAAAUAAAAUUAAUGAAUCCGAACUUCAUUAACAAAUAUUUUAGGCAUUGCUUCACCUUAUCUCAAAAUUGUUCUGUAAUAAUCUAUUUUGUCUCGACCUUUUCAACAGAAUUUAAAAUGAAACUAUUUCUGAUAAGUGCAGACCAAAAACUUUUUCACGUACAAAUAAAUGGCAAGCGACCAUACUGUGGGCCCAAUGUCCCAACAAUCAUCUAAACUUUUUUUUAAUAAUAUGUAAUAAUUUAUAUACCAUAAAUGAAUAUUAAUUAAAAUAAUAUAAACAAAAUACGACUCUUUAAUAUAAUAUGGAUCCAAAUUGUUUCAUAUUUGAAAUCCAGUUUUUCAUAAUUUCACAUUUCAUAUUUUAUCUUAGAACAAAAAAAAAUUUGAACUUAAUAUUUGGCCUAUUAAUCAAUGGUGUUUAUUAUAUUUUAAGACUAUCGAAUUAAUCUAUCGACACUAGUUGUAUGGUAUAAUUUAAAUGGGUGUCUGUGGGUAUAUAAAUUUGAAAUUCUAUUGUAUCAAAGAAAAAUUUAGAAAAAAAAAGAAUUUGAAAUUUAAAAUAAAAAAUGAGAUUUGUGAUAAACCAUAAAGCUCAAAAAAGUUACAACAAAUAUGGUUAAUAUUAUUUAUAUAUAUACUUAAUAAAAGUAAAAAUAUCGAAAUUCCAAUAUUAUUUUUAUUUAAUAAAAUAUAAUUAAUAUAUUUUAUAUAAAAUUUAAAUAUUUUAUUGAAAUAUUAUGUUAGGUAAAUUUAUAAAUAAAAUUAAUUUUACUAAAAUUUGAGAUAAGAGAAUUAAAUUAAUAAAAGGCAUAUUUCAUAUUUUAUAGUUAUUAUAAAUAAAAAUUAUUAUAAAAAUAAAAAAUCAAUUCUACAACAUAAUGAAAUAUUUUUAUUAAAAAAACCAGAAAUGAUUGAUGGAAUAUAUUUCCAAUUUUCGACGUUCAUAAAAAAAAAAAAAGAGUGGUCCUAAUAAUUUAUUUAUUGGAAAAAAAAAAGUGGUCCUAUUAAUUUACCUCACAUUUGAAAUGUGUUAUAUGUAAUAAUAAUAAUAUCUAUAUAAAUUUUGGACGUUGAUCCUUUCCCAUCUCUAUAAAUUCGCAUGGAGAACUAAAGCAACACAUAUCAACACAAUUUAUAUAACCAUGAAAACCACAACAGCUUCGGUGUUUCUUCUUUUCAUCAUCUUCUCAGUCACACUAUCAUCCAUUUUGUUUGGUGUAGCCAACGCUACAAACGACCCUGUGCUCGACAUUGAUGGCAACGAGGUUCAAACUGGCACCCCAUACUACGUUGUGUCGUCGAUAUGGGGUGCUGGUGGUGGGGGGCUUGCCCUAGGUAGGCCUAGCGGAAACAAAUGCCCGGAAGUCGUUACUCAAAGACGAUCCGGUGACAAUGGUAUUCCGGUGAUAUUUUCUAAUUCGGACUCCAACGAUGGAGUUGUUCGCCAAUCCUCUGACAUAAACAUAGAGUUCAUUCCCCUCAGACCCAAACUUUGCCGAACAACAACGGUGUGGAAGGUCGAUGAUUACGACCAUUCAGCCGGAAAAUGGUGGGUGAUAACCGAUGGAGUUAAAGGGAACCCGGGUGCCAACACUUUGACCAGUUGGUUUAGAAUAGAGAAGGUGUUUGAUUUGAAUUACAAAUUUAAGUACUGCCCCACAGUAUGUGGAACAUGCCCAGCUUUAUGCAACGAAAUUGGGAAAGACUCAGAUGGAGAAAUGGUACGUUUUGCUCUCUCCACUGGCCCUGGAUGGUCAUUUUACUUUAAGAAAGUUGAAAAAUCAGCCAUGGAGAUUGAACAAGUUGUUCAUAUUUAGAUUGAAAGCAAUCAUUCUGCAUGAACUAGUAGUUAUUAUAUAAUAUUAGCUUCAAGUAAAUAAUGCUGAGAGAACUGAUUGUUAAGAUUGCCUUGUUUGAAGCAGCAGCAUGUAUAUAUAUGCUUGCUUACAAGGUUUGUCUCUCAGAGUCCUUCUCUUUGUACUCUUUUCAGCUUAAUGAAUAAACUCUUUACUUAUUUACUUCUUUUGUUGCCAUUGAUUCUAGUAUUAGACUCAUUAACUUAGAUACAAUGACUUGGAAUUAACCAAAAAGUUGUAUAUAUAUAUAUAUAAAAAGAGUGUGAGGGAGGAAAAUAGAAUACCAAGUACCAAGUGGAAAAUGUUAAUACUAGGAUUCAAAGGGAUUUCACUGGACAACAGGAAUGGAAUAGUGGUUGGGUGGUUAGGGCAUUUUAUCUUUAGAGAUAAAAAAAGGUUGGUUCAUGUUCGGAGUUUGUGGCUACUCCUUCAAUAAUGUUAUUUUUAAAGUUUAAACUUGCGUCACCUUUUAAACACGUAAUAUAUCUUACCAUUACACCCAAUAAUAUUAACUAUUUACUCAAUUGUAUUCUAUCCUAUUAUUAAUUGAUGAUUGUUAUAUAUAUUAAGUUUAAGAUGAAUUUUCUUAUUAAUGUAUAUCAAUGGAAUCAAAUAUUUGUAUUUAAAAUUUUAACUCCACACUAACUUUUUUUUUUUGUUCGUUUGCUGGCGGUGAUUAGGAGACUAAUGGUUGGUCUUUGUGGCUAGUAGCUUUUAACUCAAUAGCAAACUCGAGGUUGAUAGGGGCAGACUUCACUUAAAUGGAAAAUUUCUUAUUUAAAUUCUUUUAUAAUUUAUAAAAUUUUAAAUAAAUAAUAAUAAAAUUACAAUUUAAUUCUCAAAAAUUGAUAAAAAUGUACAAGCAAAUUUGAACAAUUAAUGAUAAUAAUGACAAGAAGUUGUUUCCUGCCACAUGGAAAUUUAUGGAAUCGUCCAUUUGGUUUUAUAUUUGUCCAUUUGCUUGAAUGGUUAAGAGGAGAAAAACAAAUUAUAAUUAAGUAUACAAAACCAAACGAAUUUCAAGGGUUUUCUCUUCAAUUAUUGUCGACUUUAGCUAAUUAUUAGUAAUUUUUUUAUUAUUUAAUUAUAAAAAAUUAUAAAAUAGUGACUUAACUGUAAAAAAUAUAUAUAUAAAAUAAUCAUCUAACUAUUUACUCUUUUUUUUAUCAUCACCUGAUUAAUGGUGGUAAUUUUUAUGCUUGACAUAAUAGUAACUUUAAUCAUUAAUAAUUAUACAUUAUGUCAAUUUAGUCUUGAUUUUAAAAAAUUUAACCCUCAAUAUUUACACAUUGUGUAAUUUAAUAUUUUCAUUGUUUUGUUUUUCUUUGCUAAAAAUAAAUUAUAAAAAUGACAAAAUAUGCAUAAAAAUAAUAAUGCCGGCACCGACUACAUGUGUUAUUAUAGAUUUAUAACAAUUAUCUUUUUAUAAAAAUAUUUUAUUAUAUAUAUAAUAAGCACUUCUCUGUAACAAAUGGAAUUAUUAUAAAGAAGGUUUAAUGUAAUUUUCUAUUUUCUAUUUUCAUAAUAAUAAUAAUAAAAGAAAAGAAAAAAGUGGUUCAAUUAAUUUACCUGGUCAUCCUUUCCCAUCUCUAUAAAUUGACAUGGAGAUCUAAAGCAACACAUACCAACACAAUUGAUCUGUAUAACCAUGAAAACCACAAAAGCAUCAGUGUUUCUUCUUUUCAUCAUCUUCUCAGUCACACCAUCAUCCUUUUUGUUUGGUGUGGCCAACGCUACAAAUGAACCUGUGCUCGACACUGAUGGCAACGAAGUCCAAACAGGCACCGAAUACUACGUUGUGUCGGCGAUAUGGGGUGCUGGUGGUGGUGGGCUUGCCCUAGGCAGGCCAAGCGGAAACCCAUGCCCGGAAGUCGUUGCUCAAAGACGAUCUGGUGACAACGGUAUACCGGUGAUAUUUUCUAGUUCGGACUCCGACGAUGGAGUUGUUCGCCUAUCCUCUGACAUAAACAUAGAGUUUGUUCCGCUCAGACCCAGACUUUGCCGAACAACAACGGUGUGGAAGGUCGAUGAUUACGACCAUUCAGCCGGAAAAUGGUGGGUGAUAACCGAUGGGAUUAAAGGGAACCGGGGUGCCGACACUUUGACCAGUUGGUUUAGAAUAGAGAAG
This 37263-nucleotide long non-coding RNA is filed under the name Gossypium raimondii (Peruvian cotton). RNAcentral's name for it is "long non-coding RNA (GRAI_LNC009650)". Lineage: Eukaryota; Viridiplantae; Streptophyta; Magnoliopsida; Malvales; Malvaceae. The record is from RNAcentral.